This 104-nucleotide ribosomal RNA is filed under the name Vibrio cholerae. RNAcentral describes it as "partial 23S ribosomal RNA". The stretch from base 1 to 82 matches the Rfam family "Bacterial large subunit ribosomal RNA", at positions 2844 to 2925 of the family's 2925-position model. The record is from RNAcentral. Lineage: Bacteria; Pseudomonadati; Pseudomonadota; Gammaproteobacteria; Vibrionales; Vibrionaceae.
ACUAGAACGUUGAUAGGCAGGGUGUGUAAGCGUUGUGAGGCGUUGAGCUAACCUGUACUAAUUGCCCGUGAGGCUUAACCAUACAACACCCAAGGGGUUUUGUA